CCCACUGACCUCUGGCCCAAGUGGACCUCCAGGUGAUUCCCAAAGACAUCAACAAACCCAACAGACAGACUCAGAGAAGAAGAGAGAGGAUCCCCCACUGACCUCUGGCCCAAGUGGACCUCCAGAAACUCCUGCUGCAAAGUGUCGACGUAAACUCAAGUCUAACCUGCAGGAGAAGUUCCAGUGUCUGUUUGAGGGGAUCGCUAAAGCAGGAAACUCAACCCUUCUGAAUCAGAUCUACACACCGCUCUACAUCACAGAGGGAGGGACUGCAGAGGUCAAUGAUGAACAUGAGGUCAGACAGAUUGAAACAGCAUCCAGGAAACCAGACAGACCAGAAACAACAAUCAGACAAGAAGACAUCUUUAAAGCCUCUUCUGGAAGAGAU
This is a long non-coding RNA of Scomber japonicus (chub mackerel), 388 nucleotides long. RefSeq lists it as uncharacterized. The record is from RefSeq and is a predicted model, not a curated record. NCBI's taxonomy places the organism in Eukaryota, Metazoa, Chordata, Actinopteri, Scombriformes, Scombridae. The transcript has 3 exons.